Molecule: long non-coding RNA, 353 nt
Organism: Vidua macroura (Pin-tailed whydah)
Lineage: Eukaryota; Metazoa; Chordata; Aves; Passeriformes; Viduidae
Exons: 3
Source: RefSeq, a predicted model, not a curated record
UUGCCGUUGCUGUAUCUCUUGGAUGCCGUGCAGAACGGAAUCAGGCAGCCAAGCCUCAGGUUCACCUUCUCCCUCACCCUCUGCGCUGCUCGUGUGGCACAGCAGAUCCUGAAGCCAGAGGAGCACGUGUACAUAAGGGUAAAGAGAUUCCUUCUGUCGCACCGGUAUUUGGACCUGAGAAAGGUACCGGGUUUUCUCCAGCUUUUCUACAGUUUUGAUCUUGAGAAAACAGAGCGUGAGUGGAUCCUCAGAUUUCUUGGGGAAGGGCUGCGUGACAAACAUUGCUGUGAGCUUUAUGUCUACCAGAGGAUUUUCCGGGUCAUUCUUGCCUUUUUCAGCAGUCCUUUGUGUGA